UUUUUUAUAGCUAAUUUAAUGCAUUAAAUUUUUAAUUUAAAGAUGGAAAGUUAAUUUCCUAUUGCGC
This 67-nucleotide transfer RNA is filed under the name Arion vulgaris. Its description in RNAcentral is "tRNA-Lys". Lineage: Eukaryota; Metazoa; Mollusca; Gastropoda; Stylommatophora; Arionidae. The record is from RNAcentral.